RNAcentral lists this ribosomal RNA (253 nucleotides) under uncultured bacterium. RNAcentral describes it as "partial 16S ribosomal RNA". It matches the Rfam family "Bacterial small subunit ribosomal RNA", at positions 524 to 776 of the family's 1533-position model. The record is from RNAcentral.
UACGGAGUGUGCAAACGUUAAUCGGAAUUACUGGGCGUAAAGCGCACGUAGGCGGCUCGUUAGGUGGGGUGUGAAAGCACUGGGCUCAACCUGGGAAUUGCAUUCCAAACUGACGGGCUAGAGUGUGGUAGAGGGGGGUAGAAGUCCCUGUGUAGCGGUGAAAUGCGUAGAUAUAGGGAGGAAUACUUGUGGCGAAGGUGGCCCCCUGGACCAACACUGACGCUGAGGUGCGAAAGCGUGGGGAGCAAACAGG